UGGCACCUACGGGGCGCAGCAGUGGGGAAUAUUGCGCAAUGGGCGAAAGCCUGACGCAGCGACGCCGCGUGAGGGAUGAAGGUCUUCGGGUUGUAAACUUCUUUUCUGAGGGACGAAGAAAGUGACGGUACCUCAGGAAUAAGCCACGGCUAACUACGUGCCAGCAGCCGCGGUAAUACGGAGGGUGCGAGCGUUAAUCGGAAUUACUGGGCGUAAAGCGCUCGUAGGCGGUAUGUCAAGUCAAGGGUGAAAUCCCCGCGCUCAACGUGGGAACUGCCUUUGAAACUGGCAAACUGAAGUGUGUG
Molecule: ribosomal RNA, 305 nt
Filed under: uncultured bacterium
Lineage: Bacteria
Description: bacterial SSU rRNA
Rfam family: Bacterial small subunit ribosomal RNA
Source: RNAcentral